RNAcentral lists this long non-coding RNA (1946 nucleotides) under Gadus morhua (Atlantic cod). RNAcentral's name for it is "lncRNA (ENSGMOG00000034271.1)". Lineage: Eukaryota; Metazoa; Chordata; Actinopteri; Gadiformes; Gadidae. The record is from RNAcentral.
GUUAUAAAGGAUAAUGAUGAUAGUUUGAUGAUAUUCUCUUGCAAUACAAAAUAGCUUGUUGAAUAGAUCUGGUUAAGAUUAUCUGGUUCAGUGAGAUCUAUUCUAGUUUCCCCCAACAGCCGAACACUAACAUGUUGCCCUGGCUUGUAAAUAUUUUACUUUAAAUAAAAUUAGUAUGGACUGAAUUGAGAAUAGUGUUGGUCUACAAGUGUCCAUCACAGCUUGCACAACAGCAAAGGUGUGUGUGUGUGUGUGUGUGUGUGUGUGUGUGUGUGUGUGUGUGUGUGUGUGUGUGUGUGUGUGUGUGUGUGUGUGUGUGUGUGUGUGUGUGUGUGUGUGUGUGUGUGUGUGUGUGUGUGUGUGUUUAUGAGGCCUUGCUCCUGGGAUAAGUACAUUUACCUUUCACUUGUCCUGGCAAAAAAGUCACUCUUCCGAUUGUCAUUUUACAAUAGUAAUAAUUGUUCAUGUUGUUUGCGAAUGGAGAAUGCAGAAUUCAGACGAACAAACAGUUGCAAUAAUUCACACCAUGUCAACCACAUCACUAAAACAGCCAUAACCCUCCUCUCUCACACACACACACAAACAUACACACAGACACAGACAACGUCAACAAAACAAACUAAUUCUGCCGUUCCCAUAAUGUGGUGACUUAAGUUGUAUUCAAAUAUGAAUACAAAUCUGUAGUUGGCUCCUAGACAUGACCACUACGCUGUCUGCUAUAUUAUACCUAUGUACGUUGUAUAUUUAUAUUCAAUGAAAAAUAAUCUUGUGUCUGUUUGUGCUUGCAGGAGUCCGUGUGUCAACUGAAGACAUCUGAUAAGAGUGUCUUCAAUCUGAUAAGAGUGUCACCACUGUCACUUCCUGACACUGAUGAUAUCAGAUUGCAGGCUGACGACUCCUCAGAAUUAAAACAUGCAACGUGUUUUUUCCAGCUGAUAUAGCAGAACCGACUCCUGAGAGCAGACGUAUCUGAAGCUGUCAGGGAGGAACCAUGGCUACCAUCUCUGAACCGGACCCUGGACUCUCUGAGGAACCUGAGGACACGUCUUUGGACCGGAGGGAGCGCAAGAGAAGAUUUGCUGGUAGAGCAAAGAAGAAGGCUAAGUCCAGACGCCGUGGAAGCCGUCAGAGAGUAACAAUGGUCACCAUCUCGGACCGGGAGGAGACCAAGAAGAGAAGAUUUGGUAGGUGCCCCUUUUAUAGAGAAUUUAAAAGAAAUAAUCCAGUCCAAAACAAUGAUCCAAAAAAGUAUGAUUUCCUCCAAAUACAUUUAAGAUUUAUGUUUAGAUUUUUUUUUUUGCCAAAGUGACCGUGUGUGUGUGUGUGUGUGUGUGUGUGUGUGUGUGUGUGUGUGUGUGUGUGUGUGUGUGUGUGUGUGUGUGUGUGUGUGUGUGUGUGUGUGUGUGUGUGUGUGUGUGUCCUACUCCUGAACAGCUCUAUGGUUUCACAUCACUGUCAUUGUGAGCAUCGGACUGCUGAGUAUUCUCCUCAUCUCCCUGCGCUUCAGUGAGUCUAAAUCAUAUCCUCCUGAAUAGAAUUACAAUACAGUAAUCAUAUCAUUGAUUGUAUUAAUAGCAAUGAUAAUGUUAAAUAUUGUUUUUGUUAGAUUUAGUGAUAAUAAUAGGGUUAGCACACAUACACCGCACGCACACCCAUAAACACAGCCUACACACACACAAACAAUCCACACACACGUGCACGAACACACACGCACAUGCACACACACUGCACACACGGGCGUGCUGAUGCAGGCGUUUCAAGACAAGGGCAGCGCAGGACACCGCCUACACACACACCACACACACAUGCACACACACACGCACACACAUGCACGUGCAUACACACACUGCACACACGCGGAUGCAGAUGUUUCAAGACAACCUUCUCACAGAGAGCCUCUGCGUGAGCGUCUGUAAACCUUGUACGGCCAAGAGUGCAAGAGACCA